Molecule: transfer RNA, 87 nt
Filed under: Candidatus Campbelliibacteriota bacterium
Lineage: Bacteria; Candidatus Campbelliibacteriota
Description: Candidatus Campbellbacteria bacterium tRNA-Ser
Rfam family: tRNA
About the family: Transfer RNA (tRNA) molecules are approximately 80 nucleotides in length.
Source: RNAcentral
GGAAGUGUGGCUGAGUGGUUGAAGGCAACGGUCUUGAAAACCGUCAUACGUUAACGCGUAUCAUGGGUUCGAAUCCCAUCACUUCCG